This 1078-nucleotide long non-coding RNA is filed under the name Ursus maritimus (polar bear). RNAcentral's name for it is "lncRNA (ENSUMAG00000016973.1)". Lineage: Eukaryota; Metazoa; Chordata; Mammalia; Carnivora; Ursidae. The record is from RNAcentral.
GCCAGAGGCUGCAGGCAAUUGUCCCCCUCCUGUCACCUGGAGUCACCUGGAAGGUGCCCCUUAUCAGAGGCCAGACAUGGGGAACCUGUGGUCUCCCAGAGUGACCUUGUGAUGGAGAAUCCUGGGAUUCUAAGGAAUAGUUGCAUACCUCAGUUUCUUCCAGUUAAACUGGGGUCUAGGCAAGGACUCUGGCCACGGAGAGUCACCUCUUCUCCAUUUGUCUCUGUUGCAGCAGGAGUAACUAUGACCUGGACUACAAGCUGUACAGGGAAGAUGUCCCCUACAGGUCGGUAGGUCUUACCCCUCGGUUCUCUGGGUAAACAGGUGGAGCUGGUUGGCCUGACUCCCUCUCUGUCCUGUCCCAGUGGGGCGUAUGAAUACCAAAGGAUCCCUCCACUCAUCAGUCACGUGCCUGUCAAGAUCCGGAGGACCCGGGUGGGCUUGGGGGUUAAGAGCAGCUUCAGUCCCCACAAGGGGGCCAGGAAGAGCCACCUGCCCAGAGAGCAAAUAAAGUGUGAGUACGGGGGCACAGCCCUUACCUACGGAGCUGGGGAAGAGCUGGGCAGACCUCAGCAGGCAGGCUGGGGAGCCCUGGCAGCAGAGCCCUCUGCCCUCCGGGCCUGGUGGGACCCCAGCUUUGGCCCCUCUCCAAACAGUCCAGACGGAGGAGCUGCACUCCAUCAGGGGGGAGCUAAGCCAGAUCAAAGCCCAGGUAGACCGUCUCCUGGAGAAUCUGGAGCACAUGGACCAGCAGAGGGACCAGCUUCCAGGUGGAACACCUCCAACUGGGGGCCCAGGCCACAUUCCCAGGUCGGAGGACAGUGAAGAAACCAGGGGUCCAGGCAGUAAGGGUUCCUCAUGCAGAAUCACUGAACUCCAGCAGGAGCCCAGGGGCCAGAGGGCCCAUCCCGAAGCAGACAGCUCUGAGGACAGCACAGACCCAGAGGAGACAGUUUCUGAAGGCCUCCCGGAAGUGACUGUGCAACCAGAGGCACCCAUUCUGGAAUGAGUGCGGUGAAAGUGGAGGCAAGGCUCAGCCAGACCAGCCAGGAGGCCUCCCCAUAACGGUGGCUUUUUC